Molecule: long non-coding RNA, 5326 nt
Organism: Felis catus (domestic cat)
Lineage: Eukaryota; Metazoa; Chordata; Mammalia; Carnivora; Felidae
Exons: 3
Source: RefSeq, a predicted model, not a curated record
UUCCUAAUUCCAGUCUCUCCAGCACUUUUGUUUGCUUGUGUAUCAGUCAGACUGGUUGAAUAGUGUUCCACCAAAUUAUAUCCACUUGGAACCUCAGGAUGUGUGCUCAGGUGGAAAUAGUUAGAUGUAAUCAGUUAGGAUCUGGAGAUCGGAGUUUAGAGUCGCUGGGAACCUGGUCCCUGGUUGCUUAUUGCUUCACUGUCAGCUGAAACUUGUUAGUGCCAAAGCCUACCAGUGCCAGACUCAAAUUUGUGCACACUCAGCAAUUUAAAACUAACGUGAACGUGCAGGUUUUUAGCCAUUGAGAGAUUGCCUACUUUUCAGACUGCACAGAACCUGACAGCUGUUACCUAUAGAUAAGACAGGUCCCAAGAUGCAGUGGUCCUUGGCGUUCUCUGAUCCAGAGCCCCCUCACCAGACUGCCGAGUCACCUCACCUAGACACGUAACCCUCUCUGAGCACCCAGGCCCUCCUGGCCACCCCAGGACAGGCUGGUGCUGUGAGGGACGCCCUGGCCUGCAAACCUGUCACGGUGUUGUCUUGUCUAAAUAACCUCACGUGAGCUGCCACCACUGUGUGGCCAUGGCUCCUUCCUGGAUCUGCCCCGAGAUGCCUGGACCCUUCACAGGCACAGACAGAGGUGGGGCCUGGGGUGGCCGGUCUGGCUCCCAGAAGCUGGAGGGAGGAAGGAGCCUCAGCCCAGGCAGCACCUUGGUCUAUUCUGCUGUUGAGUUUUGGCAACAGGGGAACACAGUUCUGUGGUUCUGAGCUGUUCGUAUGUGGUGAUUCAUCCCGCAGCCCAGGGAUACCCACACACACGACCUUGCUCUCCACCCGUGCUGAGUCUCUGAUGUGCCCAGAGUCGUGGGGCUGGCGGCUGGCACGUUUUCACUGUAUUUAUAAGCACAAACAGGCCCCUGUUAGCAGGAAGCCGGGUACCUGUCCUGGGCCACAGAGCCUCGGCGGGGAGGCUGACUUGUCUCCCUCACACCAGAGAGUGCCCCAAACGGAGCAUCCAUGCCUUGAUUCCUUCAGCAGAUGUGCACUGAGUGCCCUGUGCGUGCCCUGCACCAUGCUGGGCGUCAGAAGAGACCCCUGUCCUUUCUGGACAGUAACACGUGUACAAAACACAUCAACCUUGAGGGAGCCUGGAGGGGAGGUGGCCAGCCGACCACAGGGCAGCUGAACAGAGAUACAGAAGGCUGUGCUGGAAGAAACAGGACACACGUGACAGGCGUGGAGGAGAAAUCCACGUCCGGCAUCCCAGGGCCACAUGGCCUCUCCUGUCAGUGCUGUUAUUUACUCAGUGAUGGAUGGCCACCCUCCUUAGCCACUCCGCCAAGCCAAGCGGAAGAGUGCUGUCACGUGUGCUCCGUGUUCAGAAGGGAAGGCAGGAGCUGCCCGGCGGGACAUAACAAUUCGGGGGUUGGGGAAGGACCCCGAGACCAGCAGGCAGGAUCCAUCACUCUGGCUGAUGAAACACUGGGGUGAAUAAUGAGAACCCCGAGGGGGUCAUGCAAGGCCACCUAAGGAAUCAUUACCGAAUUCCUGGCAGUUUAUUUCCUGUCAUGGAUGUUUGCACAGACGGCUCUGGUACAACACCAUCAGGGUGUCAGAUAGUGGGAGUCACACAGGAUGAAGCCUCUUUAGAUCGGCGCCCCUCGCUUAGUCAUACGCUGUCAAGUUUCCUCCGUGUGUUUUCAUGGCUUGUUAGCUCGUUUCUUUUUAUGGCCGAAUACUGUUCCACCGCCUGGAUGGACCAAGUUUGUUUAUCCAGCACCUACUGAAGGACAUCUUCGAUGUCUCCAAGUUUUGGCGAUUGUGAAUAAAACCGCUAUACACAUCUGUGGGCAGGGUUUUGUACCAACACAGCUUUCAACUCAUUUGAGUAAACGUCAAGGGGCACGGUGGCCGGGUCGUGUGGCGAGGAUACGUUUAGUCCUGUAGGAACCCACCAGACCGUCCUCCCGAGUGGCUGCCCCCGUCCGCGUGCCCGCCUGCCGUGCCUGAGAGACGCUGUGGUUCGACGUCCUCGCCAGCAUGUGCUGGUGUCGGGGGCCUGGGUUUGGGCCCUUCUAACAGGCGAGCAGUGUUGUCUCCUUGUCUGAAUUUGCACUUCCAGGUAACUAUUUUUUUUAAAUGUUAAUUUAUUUAUCUUGAGAGAGAGCAUGAGUGGGGAGGGGCAGAGAGAGAGAGGGAGAGAGGGAAUCCCAGGCAGGCUCUGCACUGACAGCAUGGGGCCUGACGUGGAACUCAAACUCACAAGCCGUGGGCUGAAAUCAAGAGUCAGAUGCUUAACCGACUGAACCACCCAGGUGCCCCAGUCACUAAUUUUUGACUGUACAGUUUACUUUUGUGGGCUCUUAGCCGGCUGGGAAACUCUAACCACAGAUCACGUCUUUGUUUUUCUAUUUCUAAAGGACAGGAUACAGAGCAUGGGGUUCAUAGUCUUCUCCAGCUUUUUAUUUUCUCGGCCUCAGAAGAGUUUAUGAAAGUGGUUUUCUAGAGCCAGUAGAUGUGGCUUCUUGUAAGAUGGUUUUGGCCAGGAUCAGAUUUUAUCAGACCCAUAGACCGAGAUUUCCUAGAGGGAAAACAAAAUGGGCAAUAAUUCCAUACAAUGAGGUUCCUUUACUAACGGAUAUUUAGACUGUACUACAUACACUUCCUCCCCUAUAGUAAACAAUGUAGUUUUCACUUGAGGGAAUGAAGUUUUGGGUUGCUUCUGGGAAGUUCAGGACUCUGUACUCACAGGGCGAUCAACAGACACCAUCACUUUGAAGGUACUGAGCAAUGAACUUGAUUAAAAACAAAAUGGCGCCACUGCCUAAAUAGUGUGUGGUUGAUCUCAGCCUCGUCUUGACUAUUCAAUCUUACUUUCACUUAUAGACCCCCCCCCGCCCCCCGCACCCCUGCGCAGCCAUCACUGGGCAUGUGCUGAAGGUGAUCCCUGCGCUGCGUGAGGCAUGAUUAGCAGACCAGGGUUCAUCCCUGGGACAGGGGUUCUGCGAGGCUGGUCAGUUAGACUCUCGGGGGUGGUCAUGGGGGGUGAUAAAUUUAGCUGCAAGAAGCGGUGAUGCUCUUUUGCUUGUUUCUGGCUUAGAUUUAGAAUUUGAGGAGUUUUGUGAAAUGUACCAGGACCAACGCCUGCCAUGCCAACCGCAGGGAUUUCAGUCAGAUUGCACGUUAUUCUUUGUUGCUAAGUGUUGGCAUUCAUGGUUUCGGGUCUGGCAAGGCGGGCUGAAGCCUUCAGUUCCAGGCUCCAGGCAGCCCACGGCCCAGCGGUCAGCCUAGAUUUGGGGCCGUUGGGGGGGGGUUUUGUCUGUGGUGGAGCCCGCCCUCCUCCUGUCUCACAUGGCGCCCUCAGGGCGCUCCCGCUUUGAGUAAGACGUUGCUCUGUCCUUCCACCGCUUCCUUCUGCAGAUUUGGACUUGCUCCUGCCUGUCUGAUUUCAGAUGCUUCGUUCUGCUUGGGAUUUCCAGCUGUGGCUCCUUCUGUCCUCUGCACAGUGGUUUAAUUUCUGUCGGUUUUUGUUCUCGUCUUAACUCCGUGUGUUCCCGUGAUCAGCUUGCACCCUUACUACUCCAUGUUAGCCUGCUUCUUAAUCCUUGCUUCCAGAGAGCCCGCCGUGAUUUCUCGCUGCCUCAUUCAUGCCGCACCUGCUUACUGCGGCUGGCUUGGGGACAAGUAUGAUCCAGGGACGGGGUGCACACAGAGACUAGAAUGACUGCUGGUUUCCAGAGUGCCCCGCGAGGAGACACGUUCCUGGAUGCUAAGACUCCCCACUUCUAUGAGAGUGGCCUCAAUGGGGUGUUGUCUGCAUCAGAUGUUAAACACUUCUGAUAACCUACAGACGCCUAAGAACCAGUGUGGAAAGAAAGGCCUUCUUGUCUGUGUGUAAGGAUCUGCUGCCUAAGUUAAAUUAUGAACCUAGCUGGCAGGUGCCACUGAAGCCCACUGUGUGCCCGGCCUGCUGGGAACAGGGCUAACCUGGUGCUGGGCUGAUGGGACUUCUCCGCCAGGCUGGGGACCCCUCUCCUGGCAGCUCCUGGUGGCCCCUCUUGAUGGACAGGAGGGAGGGGCAGGGCUCUCUCUGGGUCCAGCCCCUGCCCUCCUCAGGAAGUCAGGGAAGUCAGGGAGGAGACACAACUAUAAAGAGGAGAAAGACCUUUUAGUCACUUGAAUUAAAAGGGAUUGAGGUUCAUGGUUGAAUGUUGAACUAUAUGAAUCUGGCUGUAGUUGACUUCUGAGCUCGGUAAUGUCACACACUUGAACCUAAUCCCUUAGACAAGUGCUCUGAAGUAGAUGUGGGUUUUAGUUACUCAGGCGAGGUCUACACCAGUCCUCCAACAGUGUAGACUUGCCGGGAAGGCCUGCAAAGGAAGGCAAGUGCCCUGUGGCGGUGGAGGCUGGACGAAGGGUGACCACGGGCCAAAAGAUCUGCACUAAGUCUGUGCUUUGCCGUUACCCACCCAUGUCCGUGGGCAGGUGUGGCCGCCUGUCCAGUGCCUUCCGUAAAGAGAGGAAGGGGGAGGCUCGAGGGUGGAGAGGGGACAGACCAGACACUGGCCUGGAGCUGCCUGCCACCAGCCUGUCCAGCUCUAACUUGGCUCUGGCCAAGCUCUGGUGUUUCUGGUGUGCAGUUUGGCCUGGGGCCGCCACACGGAGCUGCCUGGGCCAGAGUCCCCGGGGCCUUGGUCAUGAGCACAGUCUGUGCGCAUUGUUGGCAUGCCUCCUUUUGCACGCUGAGACACCAGGCCCGGUGCCCUGGGGCGGCCCUGCAGGGACGGCUGUAUGCCUAUACCUGGCAUUGGGCCAGAGGCACAGGGGCUGCUGGUGGGGGCUGGGCGCACAAGGGCGCCCCGAGGAGCCUCUGUGAUUCGCUCACCCCCAGGUGUCCCUCCAAGGUCCUUGUAGCUCUUCCGUCUGCAGGAAUGUGUGUGAGGCUGGCCCUGCACAAUAGCAGGUGCCCGGCAAGGAUGCAUGCGUGCUCUGAUCCACGCUGGCCCCGCCCUGCCCCGGGGACUGUCCCCUCCCUGCCAAGACGGAAGCCAAGUUAAAUGAAUUUCUUUCUGGAGCCAAUGGGCCGGAUCUUAAGCCUUCCUGAGAACUGAAGUGUAAUUUAAGAAACUGGAAGAAAUUAUUGAGUUGGUGUCCUAAUCCCCCGAGAGUCUCCGUGCGCACUCCACUGAGCAGCCUAAUCCCCGCUGGUGCCUCGACCCCGGUGGAAUCCUUAAUUACCAGAAUCUCAUUUCCGCUUCGUGGGCUACCUGAGUAGCAUCUGUCGCUCAAAUAAACUCAUGUGAAAAUAAAGUAUUAAAAUCAAUAA